GACUGACAGACAGUUGCCCAGCGCCUCAAGUUCCGGCUGAACCUGUAUGAGUUGAAAGAAGGUCGGCAGAUCAAACCUUAUACCCUCAUGAGCAUGGUGGCCAACCUCUUGUAUGAGAAACGGUUUGGCCCCUACUACACUGAGCCAGUCAUUCCCGGGUUGGACCCGAAGACCUUUAAGCCCUUCAUUUGCUCUCUAGACCUCAUCGGCUGCCCCAUGGUGACUGAUGACUUUGUGGUCAGUGGCACCUGCGCCGAACAAAUGUACGGAAUGUGUGAGUCCCUCUGGGAGCCCAACAUGGAUCCGGAACACCUGUUUGAAACCAUCUCCCAAGCCAUGCUGAAUGCUGUGGACCGGGAUGCAGUGUCAGGCAUGGGAGUCAUUGUCCACAUCAUCGAGAAGGACAAAAUCACCACCAGGACACUGAAGGCCCGAAUGGACUAACCCUGUUCCCAGAGCCCACUUUUUUUUCUUUUUUUGAAAUAAAAUAGCCUGUGUUUCAAAAAAAAAAAAAAAAAAAAAAAAAAAAAA
Molecule: RNA transcript, 531 nt
Organism: Nomascus leucogenys (northern white-cheeked gibbon)
Lineage: Eukaryota; Metazoa; Chordata; Mammalia; Primates; Hylobatidae
Gene name: proteasome subunit beta type-3 pseudogene
Exons: 1
Source: RefSeq, a predicted model, not a curated record